This 257-nucleotide ribosomal RNA is filed under the name uncultured prokaryote. RNAcentral's name for it is "partial 16S ribosomal RNA". It matches the Rfam family "Bacterial small subunit ribosomal RNA", at positions 524 to 780 of the family's 1533-position model. The record is from RNAcentral.
UACGUAGGUGGCAAGCGUUAUCCGGAAUUAUUGGGCGUAAAGAGCGCGCAGGUGGUUGAUUAAGUCUGAUGUGAAAGCCCACGGCUUAACCGUGGAGGGUCAUUGGAAACUGGUCGACUUGAGUGCAGAAGAGGGAAGUGGAAUUCCAUGUGUAGCGGUGAAAUGCGUAGAGAUAUGGAGGAACACCAGUGGCGAAGGCGGCUUCCUGGUCUGUGACUGACACUGAGGCGCGAAAGCAUGGGUAGCGAACAGGAUUA